UCGCGGAUCAGCAUGCCGCGGUGAAUACGUUCCCGGGCCUUGUACACACCGCCCGUCACACCAUGAGAGUCGGGGAUACCCGAAGCCUGUGAGCUAACAGUAAUGGAGCAGCAGUCGAAGGUAGAAUCAAUGAUUGGGGUGAAGUCGUAACAAGGUAAC
This 159-nucleotide ribosomal RNA is filed under the name uncultured bacterium. Its description in RNAcentral is "partial 16S ribosomal RNA". It matches the Rfam family "Bacterial small subunit ribosomal RNA", at positions 1342 to 1500 of the family's 1533-position model. The record is from RNAcentral.